Molecule: long non-coding RNA, 1275 nt
Organism: Lutra lutra (Eurasian river otter)
Lineage: Eukaryota; Metazoa; Chordata; Mammalia; Carnivora; Mustelidae
Exons: 3
Source: RefSeq, a predicted model, not a curated record
AAGUAGAGUGUGGUGUGUGGUCAGACUGGACGGCCACCCGGGGCCAAGAGUCUGGGCUGUCCUUUAACUGUGGCUUCUUAGAUCUCUUUGACUUCCUGCUUGGAUUCCCCACAGUGCGGAUUGUAUCUUGCUGAGGAGGCAGGGACAAGGUUCCCACAGGAUGUCCACAUGACCCAUUUCCCUGCUGAAGAAACCGAGACCCGGAGAAGAAGCAUGAGCGAUUGCUCACAGCUUCCCGGCCCUUGCUUCCAUGGCACGUCUCCCUCUCUGCCUCCUGCACUCCCGUCUCUCUCUUCUAAGGGCCUUCAUGAUUACACUGGACCCACCAGAUAAUUGAGGAUACAGUCUGCAUCUCAGGAUCCUUACCUCGAUCCCAGCUGCAAAAUCACAGGUGCUAGGAAUUAGGAUGUGGACAUCUUUAGAAUAUGGACAUCUUUCAGGGGCCAUUGUUUGCUUACCACAGAAACCACUGAAGAACUCUGAGCAGAAGGCUGGUGUGUGACUGUAUUAGGGUGUUAGGCAGUGUAGAGUCAUGGUUAAAAUAGCAGGCUUAGGGGUCUAAACCUGGGUUCAAUGCUGAGCCCACCAUGAAAGAGCUCUGUAACCUUGGAUCAUUUCCUACUUCAUUUCUCUCUGCCUUGGUUUUCUCAUCUGUAAAAUGAAACUACCUACCCCAAAUGGCGGUUGGAAGGAUUAUACGGGACAAUAGAAGUGAAACAGGACAGCAGAAAGCACUCAAUGAAUUGGGAACAUCUUGGUACUCCAUAAGCGCUAAGCAUAGAGACCUGAUCAAGAAAACGCCAUUCACAGUCCAGGUCAUGAAGAGCAAAACCUAGCCCCUCGGGGGCCCAUUUCCCCCAGGACCAUCAGCGAGAUAGGGAAGGGGGUACCUGAGCACCAGAGGAUUCUCUGGUCCAGAGGAAACAGGCAGCUCCUCCAAAUGGCACAUUUCUCUGUGGGGCAUUUUUCUUCCUCCUCUCUUUUGGCAUAAAGAAAUGAGGGAUGGAGGCUGCCCUGAUCUGUUCCGGUAAUAAGGUGGGAUUCUGUCUGGAUGUUGGAUAAUACUAAGUAGUAGACAAUGGUUUGUCUUAAGCUUUCUUCUGUGAGAUGUCUGAAAUAACCAUUUAGUUUGAUGUGGGAGCCAGUGAAAGACUUGGUGACAUUUUUAUCCAUGUACCCUGUAUGUUGAUGAGUGUGCUUAUCAGAGUUGGUGGGCACCUGGUUCUGGGUCCCUUGAUUCCUCAAUACAUUUUGGCUAUCUUCUCUGUUCCCAUU